Molecule: ribosomal RNA, 482 nt
Filed under: uncultured bacterium
Lineage: Bacteria
Description: partial 16S ribosomal RNA
Rfam family: Bacterial small subunit ribosomal RNA
Source: RNAcentral
AUUGAACGCUGGCGGCAUGCCUAACACAUGCAAGUCGAACGGUAACAGGUCUUUGGAUGCUGGCGAGGGGGGGACGGGCGAGAAAAACAGCGGAACGUGCGCAGACGAGGGGGGUAACGGGGCGAAAGCAUUGCGAAUACCGCGGACGAUCUAAGGGUGAAAGCAGGGGGCGGCAAGGCCUUGCGCGUUUGGAGCGGCCGAUGGCAGAGUAGGCAGAGGGUGGGAUAAAAGCUUACCAAGCCGACGAUCUGUAGCUGGCCUGAGAGGACGACCGGCCACACUGGGACUGAGACACGGCCCAGACUCCUACGGGAGGCAGCAGUGGGGAAUUUUGGACAAUGGGCGAAAGCCUGAUCCAGCAAUGCCGCGUGCAGGAAGAAGGCCUUCGGGUUGUAAACUACUUUUGUUCGGAACGAAAAGGCUCUGGCUAAUACCUGGGGGACAUGACGGUACCGUAAGAAUAAGCACCGGCUAACUACGUG